AAAAAAGGAAAACAAAUGUGGAAUCAAACAUCAUCUUGAUCAGGAAACGAUUUUGGCGCCUUUUCAAUUGUGCCUCCUUUGUGAUUGGGAAUUCCCACUAAAAAGUUCAUGAAAUCACUCAGCUCUCCUUGCCGAUCCAUUAAUAAAUGCCCAAUCACGGAAGAGUUACUAAGUUCAGGAAGAGAAUUUGGCACCUUAAUUUCAGUUAUAGCCCCUCUCCCUUGAAAGAGAGCAUCAUUGAUUGAAGGGACUUUGACAGGAUAUACACUUGGCCAAGAGAUUGAGUCAUUGAGUGAAUUAUUACACUUCAAUGUUUUGAAGGAAAAACUCAUUGGUGCCAACAAUCAACAGUCGUUCAUUUUAAUCAGUUUGACAACUCCAAGCCAUGGCAGGCCAAGAACCGUACUUCGAUCCAGAGAUACACUGCAUUUCUUUGGACCCUAGAAAGCUAGACGCCAGAUUGAAAAUCGAACAUCGUAACCAUUGCCUGGUGGAAGUAUUUUCAACAAAGAACUCCACAAAUGCUAGGAGCACGAUACGAUCAAAGCUGAAUGCUCGCCUGACAAGGUAUGACCCUUACCUUGAGUUUUCCAUGUACUUGGGGCAAGGAAAUGUGGAAU
Long non-coding RNA from Lytechinus variegatus (green sea urchin), 620 nucleotides. RefSeq lists it as uncharacterized. NCBI's taxonomy places the organism in Eukaryota, Metazoa, Echinodermata, Echinoidea, Temnopleuroida, Toxopneustidae. The transcript has 2 exons. The record is from RefSeq and is a predicted model, not a curated record.